UGGUGGAGUGAUUUGUCUGGUUAAUUCCGUUAACGAACGAGACCUUAGCCUACUAACUAGUCGAACCAAUCUCGAUUGGCUCCGACUUCUUAGAGGGACUUUGUGAAACAACACAAGGAAGUUUGAGGCAAUAACA
RNAcentral lists this ribosomal RNA (136 nucleotides) under uncultured eukaryote. RNAcentral describes it as "partial 18S ribosomal RNA". It matches the Rfam family "Eukaryotic small subunit ribosomal RNA", at positions 1299 to 1458 of the family's 1831-position model. The record is from RNAcentral.